GCUCAAAUUUGAAAUCUGGCCUCGGCCCGAGUUGUAAUUUGCAGAGGAUGCUUUUGGUGCGGUGCCUUCCGAGUUCCCUGGAACGGGACGCCACAGAGGGUGAGAGCCCCGUAUGGUCGGACACCAAUCCUGUGUAAAGCUCCUUCGACGAGUCGAGUAGUUUGGGAAUGCUGCUCUAAAUGGGAGGUAAAUCUCUUCUAAAGCUAAAUACCGGCCAGAGACCGAUAGCGCACAAGUAGAGUGAUCGAAAGAUGAAAAGCACCUUGAAAAGGGGGUUAAACAGUACGUGAAAUUGUUGAAAGGGAAGCACUUGUGACCAGACUUGGGCCGGGCGGCUCAUCAGGGGUUCUCCCCUGUGCAUUCCGCCCGGUACAGGCCAGCAUCGGUUCUUACCGGGGGAUAAGAACGGCAGGAACGUGGCUCCCUCUCGGGGGAGUGUUAUAGCCUGCCGUACGAUACCCUGGCGGGGACCGAGGUUCGCGCUUCCGCAAGGAUGCUGGCGUAAUGGUUACUAGUGACCCGUCUUGAAACACGGACCAAGGAGUCGUCCAUUAGAGCGAGCGUUUGGGUGUAAAACCCGCACGCGUAAUGAAAGUGAAAUUAGGUGAGAGCUUCGGCGCAUCAUCGACCGAUCCUGAUGUUCUCGGAUGGAUUUGAGUAAGAGUUUUAACGGACGGACCCGAAAGACAGUGAACUAUGCUUGUAUAGGGUGAAGCCAGAGGAAACUCUGGUGGAGG
RNAcentral lists this ribosomal RNA (737 nucleotides) under Tubakia seoraksanensis. Its description in RNAcentral is "eukaryotic LSU rRNA". It matches the Rfam family "Eukaryotic large subunit ribosomal RNA", at positions 107 to 873 of the family's 3401-position model. Lineage: Eukaryota; Fungi; Ascomycota; Sordariomycetes; Diaporthales; Tubakiaceae. The record is from RNAcentral.